RNAcentral lists this long non-coding RNA (3433 nucleotides) under Sus scrofa (pig). RNAcentral's name for it is "lncRNA (ENSSSCG00040071591.1)". Lineage: Eukaryota; Metazoa; Chordata; Mammalia; Artiodactyla; Suidae. The record is from RNAcentral.
UUUUCUUCCCUUUCUUUCUCUCUUUCUCAUUCUUUUCUCCCUGCCAGAAGAUUGGAGACGAUAUUCUUUUGCGAUCAAUUCAGUAAUACAGUGUCUUUGAGUGUUCACACGAGCAUUUCAGUGGAGAAGAAAAGAAACUUUGCUACCUGGGAACAGAAGACUGCUUAGGUCAGUGAAUGCUAAUAAAGUCCUUAAGGACUUAUGGAGCCAGGAGUUAACUUUUGUCAACUCUUAAGGUAAUUAAUUGCAUUGCUUGAACACAUGCUGUGCCCUGGGAACUAUAUUAGGUCUUCAGGGACUCAGGAGAUGGUCUGGGAUAUUGACAGGGACAGCAGAAGAACUUCAAAGCGAAGAUGCUGGUGUUCCCCAUCCUGCUGUUCUCACUUCUCCAGGACCGAGGCCCCGUGGAGGGAACCAAGAUCCUAGACCAUCCCUUAGACAUGAACUGUAUUGUUGUAGGGAUCAAAUGAGUCAAAACACACCAUGUGGCUAGAAUAAUGACUGGAACACAGCAAGAGUUGCCUUGGCACCCAGCUUGUGAGUAAUAUUAAUUUUUAUUAUAUACAUUUAUUGAAAAAUAAACAGUUGUAAAUAAUCAACAUUCCAUAAGUUCACUAUCACCACUGAGAGCUUACUCUUAGCGGACUUUGGUCCCAGCAUUUUCUUGCUUUAUCCCAUUUCAUCCUCAUCUCAAGCCUAGAAAUAGGUGUCAUUCUAUCUCCAUUUUGCAGUGAGGCAGUGUGGUCUCUGAGAGGCCAGGAGGCCUGCCCAAGUGCAAACAGCUGAUGGUGGAGCUGGUUUGUAGUGGAGAACAAUGGCUCUUGACCCCGGUGCUCUUGGUAGGUGUGCCCUAAGUGGACACAUUCAGUAAUGUUCCCCAGUCUCCCAGGAGUCCACGGCCAUCACACAUUGCUCAACGAUCAAUACCCACUCUUGGUUGCUUCAGGGUGUUUGAAAAGUCACGGAGUUGUACGAAGUUAUAAAGCCAGAGUCGUGGUUGUGUUGCUUUGUCCAUCUCAUUAUUUUGUUGACGCUUCUUUGGAUUUGCUGUCAUAUUUUAAGCUCUCAAGGGUGAAGGAUACUGUUUCUUCCUUCUUUUUGUGUGUGUCCUCUGUAGCAUCGGAGACAGCACUGUGUUCCAGAGUUUUCUACCGUACACACAGCAGAACCAAAUUCAGUUUGAAGAACUUUGCUGAUAGGACCACCCGGCAUCUCCUCUGAAGAGACUUCCAGGGUCCCACUCCCUCCCAGCCCACCUCUCCCUUCCUUCAAUCAGACCAGGUCACCCCUGGCCUGCCCAGCCCUCCUGCAGCACUCGUGACAACCUAGCUCCCCACCUUCAGUCUAGAUCGCUUACUCUAUUACACGUCAGGGACCUAGUCAGCCGGUUUCAUUUGCUGCGUGCCUGGCUGUGCUCAACACAUAGAAGGUUCUCGGUAAAUACUAAUCCAAUAAGCAAAUGAAGGAGGGUUUUUAAUUAAGCCUCUGAAUCUCCCUAAGAAUUUGCAGAUGGCAGUGACACUUGAUUCCUUGGGGGCUUCAGAGAGGAGUGGGGGAAGCUUGAGUGCCUGUGAGCAUGUACGGCGGCGAGCAUGUGCCCAGGCGGCUUCCCUUAGCUCACGGGAUUGUCUGUCAGCACCCCGUCCCCCCUCUUGAUGGUCACCCACAUCCCCAGCUCCAUGCAGCUAAGGCGCAGGUGACGCCAGUGUCUUUCCUCCAGACCUCAUGGCUGAGCUCCCUCUAGAAAUGAGCCCCCAUUCCCAUGACCCUUCAUUCCCUUUAUUCCCUGGGGGAGUCCAUGGAAUUUGCAAAUCAAGAAAUGUUGCUGAUUUUCCUGUGUGUCGGCUCCAAGGAUCAUAAUGUCCUUUUAUCUGUUUGCUUUCAUAAAGCCCUUUCAUUUCUUGAGGUAUGGUCACAUACUUUUUUUUCCAUUUGGACAAAGCAACCGGAGGAGUUUAAUAAUAGUGUUGGCAAAGUAAAAUGAAUGAUCCGUAUUCUUGCUGAGUGUCUCGGACCAGAAUCAAUUUAUGUAUUAAUUCGAUUUUUUUUUUUUUUGGUCUUUUUGCCAUUUCUUGGGCAACUCUUGAGGCAUAUGGAGGUUCCCAGACUAGGGGUCUAAUUGGAGCUGUAUCCGCCGGCCUACACCACAGCCACAGCAACGUGGGAUCCGAGCCGCGUCUGCAACCUACACCACAGCUCACGGCAACGCUGGAUCCUUAACCCACUGAGCAAGGCCAGGGAUCGAACCUGCAACCUCAUGGUUCCUAGUCGGAUCCAUUAACCACUGCGCCACAACAGGAACUCCUGUAUUAUUUGAUUUAAUUCCUAAGUGAUGGCUAUAAUAGUGCUCUAGAGUUUGGACUGACUGGAUUUGAAUCUUGGCUUCCUUACCAGCUGCAUGACUCUGGAUCACUUACUUCAACUCUUUACACCCAUUUCCUUAUGAGAAAGGGGGGCAUUUAAUAAUAAACAUGCCAUGGCGUUGUGACUAGGAAAUAAGAUAACGCAUGUCAAGUGCUAUGCAUAGUGUUUGGCACGUGGUGAGUAUGUAAUAAUUUCUCACAAUAAACUCGUUACAGACUAUCUUAACAGAUGGGCAAAGAGAUGCUUCAAGUCCAGAGUUGAGGCCCAUGGAUUAACCCCCAUGCAAUCCCACCUGUUGAGUAUUGACAAUCACGCCUUCUCUUUAGAUUGGACUUGACAUCUUGGGCCAACUGGUCUUGAAAAGUAAUGAAAGCUUCCGACAUGUUAUUUGAUAACUUUGAAUUCUCUUUUUCCCAGGUGGUAUGUGCCGGGCCCUCUGAUCUUUCUCCCUCACCCCUACCCCCCACCAGACUAUAGGAAUAAACUUUUCCGUUUGCAAGGGCCGCAUAAUUCCCGGCUACGGUUCAGCGGCCACAUCCCAGUUGCCGACCUUCCCACCAGCUGUCACACCCUCUACCUGCUGCCAAGUGGCCCUGGAAGAAUGCUCCGGGUGAUUUCCUGCCCCUGGAAACAUCAAAGCCAGCCCUCUCCCUGUUCCCAUUCUUCUUAGUGAAUGCGCCACUGGUUGAUAUAAAGGAGACAAGUGCUCAGCAGCCUCAACGACAGGGGGAGAAUUCAGGUCCGUGGGAGGGGGGCUUGGUGGCCAGAGCAGGGAGGGGAAGUUCUGCAUCACAUCCAGGGAUCCGGCCAGGCACUCAGGCCCCAUCAGCACCCAUGAAAAUACCAGCACCCCCGCGUGGGCUUCCAAAAAGAAGCUGCUGCCUCAAGUUAUUAUUUCUAUAUUGUAUAAUAAUCAGGCCACUGUUUUGAGAUCAUGUCAAAGAUAACAAAGCAUCAGAAGCCUCUUCUGCCGCUGAAGAACCAAUCAACCUAAACUAAUACUUUAAUGACCACUUUUCCCAACGAGAAAACAAAUUCAGACAAAAAAAAAAAAANAAAAAAAAAAAAA